This 207-nucleotide unclassified non-coding RNA is filed under the name Hevea brasiliensis (rubber tree). The record is from RNAcentral. Lineage: Eukaryota; Viridiplantae; Streptophyta; Magnoliopsida; Malpighiales; Euphorbiaceae.
AAGAAACAGCUCAUCCUCCAGAAGAAGGGAGAAGAGGAGCAUUUGAAGCAAGAACCAAUUCAUCCGAGUGUGAUAGCUGUAAGCUGACGUCAGGUAUCAAAGUGGUGGGUGCGGAUAGGUCACAUUGUCAAGUUGGAAUUCAGCCAUAUAAUUCUGCUGAGGGAGUUGUUUGUCCAUGCCCUCCGCAUGGUUGUUGUGCCAUAUCUG